GGACAACCUACCCUGCGGAAGGGGAUAACCCCGGGAAACUGGGGAUAAUACCCUAUAGGAUAUUGAUGCUGGAAUGCGCGAUAUCUGAAAGUUGAGGCGCCGCAGGAUGGGUCUGCGGCCGAUUAGGUAGUUGUUGGGGUAAUGGCCCAACAAGCCUGUAAUCGGUACGGGUUGUGGGAGCAAGAGCCCGGAGAUGGAUUCUGAGACAUGAAUCCAGGCCCUACGGGGCGCAGCAGGCGCGAAAACUUUACAAUGCGGGAAACCGUGAUAAGGGAACCCCGAGUGCCCGUAGAAUCGGGCUGUUGAUCUGUGUAAAAAGCAGGUAAAGAAAGGGCCGGGCAAGACCGGUGCCAGCCGCCGCGGUAACACCGGCGGCCCGAGUGGUGAUCGUGAUUAUUGGGUCUAAAGGGUCCGUAGCCUGUUUGGUCAGUCCUCCGGGAAAUCUGACAGCUCAACUGUUAGGCUUUCGGAGGAUACUGCCAGACUUGGAACCGGGAGAGGUAAGAGGUACUACAGGGGUAGGAGUGAAAUCUUGUAAUCCCUGUGAGACCACCUGUGGCGAAGGCGUCUUACCAGAACGGGUUCGACGGUGAGGGACGAAAGCUGGGGGCACGAACCGGAUUAGAUACCCGGGUAGUCCCAGCCGUAAACGAUGCUCGCUAGGUGUCAGGCAUGGCGCGACCGUGUCUGGUGCCGCAGGGAAGCCGUGAAGCGAGCCACCUGGGAAGUACGGCCGCAAGGCUGAAACUUAA
This 752-nucleotide ribosomal RNA is filed under the name uncultured archaeon. Its description in RNAcentral is "bacterial SSU rRNA". It matches the Rfam family "Archaeal small subunit ribosomal RNA", at positions 102 to 859 of the family's 1478-position model. The record is from RNAcentral.